CCUACGGGAGGCUGCAGUGGGGGAUAUUGCACAAUGGGGGAAACCCUGAUGCAGCGACGCCGCGUGUGGGAAGACGGUCCUCUGGAUUGUAAACCACUGUCCCCAGGGACGAAGAUGACGGUACCUGGGGAGGAAGCUCCGGCUAACUACGUGCCAGCAGCCGCGGUAAUACGUAGGGAGCGAGCGUUGUCCGGAAUUACUGGGUGUAAAGGGAGCGUAGGCGGGGAUGCAAGUUGGGUGUCAAAACUACCGGCGCAAGUGGGAGUCGCAGACAAAACUGCAGCGCUUGAGUGAAGUAGAGGCAGGCGGAAUGCGUAGUGUAGCGGUGAAGUGCGUAGAUAUUGGGAGGAACGC
Molecule: ribosomal RNA, 354 nt
Filed under: uncultured bacterium
Lineage: Bacteria
Description: partial 16S ribosomal RNA
Rfam family: Bacterial small subunit ribosomal RNA
Source: RNAcentral